Molecule: ribosomal RNA, 909 nt
Filed under: Bacillus siamensis
Lineage: Bacteria; Bacillati; Bacillota; Bacilli; Caryophanales; Bacillaceae
Description: bacterial SSU rRNA
Rfam family: Bacterial small subunit ribosomal RNA
Source: RNAcentral
GGGUUACCUCCUAUAAAGGGGAUCUAGCUAUACUGCAGUCGAGCGGAAGAUGGGAACUUGCUCCCUGAUGUUAGCGGCGGACGGGUGAGUAACACGUGGGUAACCUGCCUGUAAGACUGGGAUAACUCCGGGAAACCGGGGCUAAUACCGGAUGGUUGUUUGAACCGCAUGGUUCAGACAUAAAAGGUGGCUUCGGCUACCACUUACAGAUGGACCCGCGGCGCAUUAGCUAGUUGGUGAGGUAACGGCUCACCAAGGCGACGAUGCGUAGCCGACCUGAGAGGGUGAUCGGCCACACUGGGACUGAGACACGGCCCAGACUCCUACGGGAGGCAGCAGUAGGGAAUCUUCCGCAAUGGACGAAAGUCUGACGGAGCAACGCCGCGUGAGUGAUGAAGGUUUUCGGAUCGUAAAGCUCUGUUGUUAGGGAAGAACAAGUGCCGUUCAAAUAGGGCGGCACCUUGACGGUACCUAACCAGAAAGCCACGGCUAACUACGUGCCAGCAGCCGCGGUAAUACGUAGGUGGCAAGCGUUGUCCGGAAUUAUUGGGCGUAAAGGGCUCGCAGGCGGUUUCUUAAGUCUGAUGUGAAAGCCCCCGGCUCAACCGGGGAGGGUCAUUGGAAACUGGGGAACUUGAGUGCAGAAGAGGAGAGUGGAAUUCCACGUGUAGCGGUGAAAUGCGUAGAGAUGUGGAGGAACACCAGUGGCGAAGGCGACUCUCUGGUCUGUAACUGACGCUGAGGAGCGAAAGCGUGGGGAGCGAACAGGAUUAGAUACCCUGGUAGUCCACGCCGUAAACGAUGAGUGCUAUGUGUUAGGGGGUUUCCUCCCCCUUAGUGAUUCAAUUAACUCAUUAAUCUCCUCUUCUUGGGAUAUCACCUCCUCUAUGCAUCAAUCUCAGAGAUAAC